CUGGUUGAUCCUGCCAGAUCCGACUGCUAUCCGGGUAAGACUAAGCCAUGCGAGUCGAAUGGGAAGCUAAUCUUCCAUGGCAUACUGCUUAGUAACAAGUGAUCAACUUACCCUUUAGUGGGGCAUACCCUCGGGAAACUGAGGCUAAUUCCCCAUAGUUGAAAACGCCUGGAAUGGUUUUUCAUCCAAAGGAUAUAACAAAUGCGUUAUAUUUGCUAAAGGAUAGGAUCGCUCCCGAUUAUGGUUGUUGGCGAGGUAAUGGCUCACCAAGCCUAUGAUCGGUAAGGGCCGUGAGAGCGGGAGCCCUGAGAUGGGUACUGAGACAAUGACCCAGGCCUUACGAGGCGCAGCAGGCGCGAAACCUUUACAAUGCACGAAAGUGUGAUAAGGUUACCCGGAGUGCUAGGAGUGCAACUUCUAGCUGUUAUAGUGUGUAGAUAACACUAUGAGAAAGGAGAGGGCAAGGCUGGUGCCAGCCGCCGCGGUAACACCAGCUCUUCAAGUGGUCGGGCCAAUUAUUGGGCUUAAAGUGUCCGUAGCCGGUUUGGUAAGUCCCUGGUUAAAGUUGACAGCUUAACUGUCAGUUCGCUAGGGAAACUGCCUCGCUAGAGGGCGGGAAAGGUCUGAGGUACUCCAGGGGUAGCGGUGAAAUGCGAUAAUCCUGGGGGGACCACCAGUGGCGAAAGCGUCAGACUGGAACGCGCCUGACGGUGAGGGACGAAAGCCAGGGGAGCGAACGGGAUUAGAUACCCCGGUAGUCCUGGCCGUAAACGAUGCACGCUAGGUGUUGGUAGGGCUAUGAGCUGUAUCAGUGCCGUAGGGAAACCGUUAAGCGUGCCGCCUGGGAAGUACGCUCGCAAGAGUGAAACUUAAAGGAAUUGGCGGGGGAGCACCACAAGGGGUGAAGCCUGCGGUUCAAUUGGAUUCAACGCCGGG
This 936-nucleotide ribosomal RNA is filed under the name uncultured archaeon. RNAcentral describes it as "bacterial SSU rRNA". It matches the Rfam family "Archaeal small subunit ribosomal RNA", at positions 4 to 922 of the family's 1478-position model. The record is from RNAcentral.